Caenorhabditis elegans is the source of this 139-nucleotide non-coding RNA. NCBI's taxonomy places the organism in Eukaryota, Metazoa, Nematoda, Chromadorea, Rhabditida, Rhabditidae. The record is from Ensembl.
CGAAUGGAAGAUAGUACGAUUAUGUACUUUGAAGACUGUUUUCUCUUUUCUCAUUUCUUUUUCUUUUCCUUUUUCAGGGUCGCAUUUACUUUCAUCGCAUAAACAUUGAAACUUUGGGAGUAGCGUGAGCGGAAAGAAU